UACGUAGGGGGCAAGCGUUGUCCGGAAUCAUUGGGCGUAAAGAGCGUGUAGGCGGCCCGAUAAGUCCGCUGUGAAAGUCCAGGGCUCAACCCUGGAAUGCCGGUGGAUACUGUCGGGCUCGAAUCCGGAAGAGGUGAGUGGAAUUCCUGGUGUAGCGGUGAAAUGCGCAGAUAUCAGGAAGAACACCAAUGGCGAAAGCAGCUCUCUGGGACGGUACUGACGCUGAGACGCGAAAGCGUGGGGAGCGAACAGG
This 253-nucleotide ribosomal RNA is filed under the name uncultured bacterium. Its description in RNAcentral is "partial 16S ribosomal RNA". It matches the Rfam family "Bacterial small subunit ribosomal RNA", at positions 524 to 776 of the family's 1533-position model. The record is from RNAcentral.